This 433-nucleotide ribosomal RNA is filed under the name uncultured bacterium. RNAcentral describes it as "partial 16S ribosomal RNA". It matches the Rfam family "Bacterial small subunit ribosomal RNA", at positions 29 to 507 of the family's 1533-position model. The record is from RNAcentral.
AACGAACGCUGGCGGCAUGCCUAACACAUGCAAGUCGAACGAGACCUCCGGGUCUAGUGGCGCACGGGUGCGUAACGCGUGGGAACCUGCCCUUAGGUUCGGAAUAACUCUCCGAAAGGGGUGCUAACACCGGACAAUGUCUUCGGACCAAAGAUUUAUCGCCUUUGGAUGGGCCCGCGUUGGAUUAGCUGGUUGGUAGGGUAAAAGCCUACCAAGGCGACGAUCCAUAGCUGGUUUGAGAGGAUGAUCAGCCACACUGGGACUGAGACACGGCCCAGACUCCUACGGGAGGCAGCAGUGGGGAAUAUUGGACAAUGGGCGAAAGCCUGAUCCAGCAAUGCCGCGUGAGUGAUGAAGGCCUUAGAGUUGUAAAGCUCUUUUACCCGGGAUGAUAAUGACAGUACCGGGAGAAUAAGCUCCGGCUAACUCCGUG